UUUCCUUUUAUUUUUAGAAAUAAUCUAUUCAGUUGUUAAAAUUCCUUAUUCCGGGAUGGGUACGGUGGCUCACACCUAUAACCCCAACACUUUGGGAGGCCAGCGCAGGUGGAGGUUGCAGUGAACCGAGAUCGCACCAUUGCACUCCAGCCUGGGCAACAAGAGAAACUCCAGCUCAAAAAAAAAAAAAAAAAAAAAAAAAGAAAGAAAGAAAAAGAAAACAGGAGGAUUGGGCUAUUUCCACAUCAGGGUCCCAUUUAAUACCCCCUUAAAACAUCAGCUUUCCUUCCAGAGACUGAUCAUUGAGAAAGCAGUACUGCUGACAUAGAUCCUGCCUACUUAUAAAUCAUAAUGGUUGGUAAUCUCCAUUAAAAAGAAUAAAUUUUCCCCACUGUGGUUCAGAUGACGAGUUCCAGUUAUUACAGAGAAAUUUCAUGGACAAGUACUACCUGGAGUUUGAAGACACAGAAGAGAAUAAACUCAUCUACACACCUAUUUUUAAUGAAUACGUAAGUAGAUUUCUAUGUCUCCUACCAGGAGGUCAGAGUUUUUAAAAAUUUAAAUUUAGAUUCAAAAGACAUUGAAAUUUGCUGCCUUUUAAAAUAUGCCACCAGUACACUUCCAGGAAUCCUCAUUAGCAUCUGGUUUAAGUUCAUUUUCCUCUGCACAGCCUUUGGGGCUAUUUUCCAAAAGGCUUUCAGGCAAAUAUUUGAUUAACUCAUCAGCUUCUUAUUUAAAAGAAGUUUGACCUGGGCUUGGUAGCACACCUGUAGUGCCAGCUAUUUGGGAGGUUGAGGUGGAAGAAUCACUUGAGCUUAGGAGUUUGAGACCAGCCUGGGCAACACAGCAAGAUCUCUGUCUCUAAAAAAAAAAUGAUAAUAAUAAAGAUAAUAAAUAAAAGACGUUUGGCUUAUCAUAAUCCUGCUUUUAAUCACAGUACAUGAGUUCUUCAUACCUUGCAUUUGCAUGCUUUUGACAAACCUUUCUGCUUUCACAUACUCUUUCUUUCUUCUAUAUAAUCCAGUCAUAUAUGCAUGACUAUUAAGUAAAAGUGAAAACUGAGACCAAGAUCACUAACUAUUUGGUGGAAAAACCAAGACUGGAACCCAGGAACCUCAGCUCGUCACCCUUGGGUCUCUACACUUUACCCUGAGGCCUCUUAACAGCCCCCUGGGAUUCUGUCAUCUAAGAAUCCAUUUUGGCCUCCAGGACUUUAUUUUCUUAACACAGAAGCAUGGCAUAAACAAACCUGCCCAGAAGGAACCUGUGACUGCCUCCAUGUCCGUAUGUUCUGUUACACAGAUGCCCUCUACCCAGGAGGCAAAGCCCCCACUUACUGCAUCCUGCACUGGGUUGUGGGUGUGGGUACCGUGCUACUCACUGUCUCCACCUGUGUCAGAGCAUCCACCCUGUUACAGCACCAUUAUCAGCUAAGGCUUCUCUUCCACACCAGGCUGAGUACUUCUCCAGGACAGGAGCUGUGUUUUGGUCCUCUUUGGUAUCCUUGGCACUCAGUGUAGAUUGUGGCACACAGACCUCAGGAAAUGUUUAGAAAGGGCUGGGCAGGCUUUCUGAAAAGAAGUCUUGUUUUCCCAAAGUAUGGUCUCACCAAAAUCCUUUCCACUGUUGCAGAUUUCUUUGGUAGAAAAAUACAUUGAAGAACAGCUGCUGCAGCGGAUUCCUGAGUUCAACAUGGCAGCCUUCACCACAACAUUACAGUGAGUUGAGCUUGACUGAUUUUUGUGUUUUGUUUUGUUUUCUCACUUUCUUCCUUCCCUAGGCUGACCAAAAGACGCUCCUUGUUUGUUUUCCUGUGCAUGCCGUUGGUGGUUAGGUCCUAUGGAGGAAGCCCUCAAACCUUUUAAUGAAAUCUUGAAAAGAUCAGGCAUUGGCUCACGCUUGUGUUCUCAGUGCUUUGGGAGGCCAAGGGAGGAGGAUCACUUGAGCCCAGGAGUUCAAGACCAGCCUGGGUGACAUAGUGAGGCCCCGACCCUACAAAAAAUAAAUUAGUCAGGUGUGGUGUUGCAUACCUGUGGGCCUAGCUACUCAGGAGGCUGAGGCUGGAGAAUCCCUUGAGCCCAGCAGUUCAAGGCUACAGUGAGCUAUAAUUGCACCCCUGCACUCCUGCCUGGGUGACAGAGCAAGACCCAGUCUCUAAAAAAACAAAACAAAAAUAAUGCGGGGGGUGGGGCUGGGGUGGUGGAAAGAAAAACGAAAGCAAUCUUGAGGACUGUCUCAUCAUUCAUUCACGAAACAGCCAUCUGUUCCGUUUGCAGGCACCAUAAGGAUGAAGUGGCUGGUGACAUAUUCGACAUGCUGCUCACCUUCACAGAUUUUCUGGCUUUUAAAGAAAUGUUUUUGGACUACAGAGCAGUAAGUUACUACUCCUAUUUAUUUAGCCACUUUGAGCCACUUAGAAAAUUCCAGGUAGAAAUACCGAACAUGAACCUCCCACGCUUCCCCCAUCAUUCUCCCUUCAAACUGGCCGAUGAGGCAUCAGAAGAGUGAGCUGCUAUUCUGUUGUGGCUGGGACCUUCUCAUGUUUUCAUGAAACAAGCCCAGGUACCAACUUAGAGUUCCUAAUCAGAAGGACAAAACCGAAAAAGCAGGUCUCAGGUCUCAUUCUGCCUUGCCUUUCUUUUAUUUAUUUUUUUUUUUGAGACAGAGUUUUGCUCUUGUCACCCAGGCUGGAGUGCAGUGGCACCAUCUUGGCUCACUGGAACCUCUGCCUUCCAGGUUCAAGCAAUACUCCUGCCUCAGCCUCCCGAGUAGCUGAUACUACAGGCACCUGCCACCACGCCCAGCUAAUUCUUGUAUUUUUAGUAGAGACAGGGUUUCACCAUGUUGGCCAGGCUGGUCUCAAACUCCUGAAGCAUGGUCCGCCUCGGCCUCCCAAAGUGUUGGGAUUACAGGCGUGAGCCACCGCACCUGGCCCUGCCUUGCUUUUCAUAUAAUGCAAGCUCUUUAUAAGAAAAAUAGGAGACUGGGCAUGGUAACUCACACCUAUAAUCCCAGCACUUUGGGAGGCCGAGGCAGGCAGAUGGCUUGAGCUCAGGAGUUUGAGACCAGCCAAGGCAACAUGGCAAAACCCUGUCUCUAUGAAAAAUACAAAAAUUAGCUUGGUGUGCUGGUGUGCAUCUGUAGUCCCAGUCAGCUACUUUGGGGGCUGGGUGGGAGGACCGCUUGAGCCCAGAAGGUUGAGAUUGCUGUGAGCUGUGAUUGUACUGCUACAGUCCAGCCUGGGUGACAGAGUCAGACCCUGUGUCAAAAAAAAAAAAAGAAAAGAAAAAGAAAUGGUGUUGGGUGUGGUUGUGCAUGCCUGUAGUCCCAGCUACUUCGAAGGCUGAGGCAGGAGAAUCACUUGAGCCUAGGAGUUUGGGGCUGUAUUACACAGCAGUGGUGCCUGUGAAUAGCCACUGCACUCCAGCCUGGGCAACAUAGCAAGACCCCUAUCUCAAAAAAAAAAAAAAAGAAAGAAAGAAAAAUGUUUUCCAGUGAAGGGAGGUACAUUUUAAGAGUGCAUUUUAAGAAUGACCAGGGCCAGGCUGGACACAGUGGCUCAUACUUACAAUUCCAGCGCUUUGGGAGGCCAAGGCAGGAGAAUCACUUGAGCCCAGGAGUUCAAGACCAGCCUAAGUGACAUAUCAAGACCCUGUCUCUACAAAAAUAAAAAUAAAAAAGUUAGUCAGCUGUAGUGGUGCACACCUGUAGUCCUAGCUACUCAGGAGGCUGAGGCAGGAGGACCACUUGAGCCCAGGAAUUCCAGGCAGCAGUUAGCUGUGAUCAAGCCACUAUACUCCAGCCUGGGUGACAGAGCAAGACCCUACCUCUUUAAAAAUAAUAUUAAAAAAAAUUAAGACUAGGGCAGGCCAGUAUUGAGCAGAAAUGCAGAAUAACCAAUAACCUGUGUUCCCUUCCUAUGUACUCUGGAGGUCCACGUUCCCACCUUCAGCUCUGCCUUCCCCAUGUCAGAGGCAAGAUUCCAAGCCAGGGCUCUUUCUAGUCCUUCCUUUGGUUGUUUUCUCAUAUAGGAAAAAGAAGGCCGAGGACUGGACUUAAGCAGUGGCUUAGUGGUGACUUCAUUGUGCAAAUCAUCUUCUCUGCCAGCUUCCCAGAACAAUCUGCGGCACUAGGUCCUACCUCCAGCCAAUGAAUGGGAUCAUUCUGGAUGUCACCAGCCCAAUAGGCUCAGCUCAUGAUGACAGAACACAUCUUGGAAAGACUGACUCUGUUAUGUAACUCUUCAUUUAUGUUAAGUAUUAAUAGGUCAAAACCAAAAU
RNAcentral lists this long non-coding RNA (4280 nucleotides) under Homo sapiens (human). RNAcentral describes it as "HSALNT0386338". Lineage: Eukaryota; Metazoa; Chordata; Mammalia; Primates; Hominidae. The record is from RNAcentral.